This 292-nucleotide ribosomal RNA is filed under the name uncultured eukaryote. RNAcentral's name for it is "partial 18S ribosomal RNA". It matches the Rfam family "Eukaryotic small subunit ribosomal RNA", at positions 6 to 299 of the family's 1831-position model. The record is from RNAcentral.
GGUUGAUCCUGCCAGUAGUCAUAUGCUUGUCUCAAAGAUUAAGCCAUGCAUGUCUAAGUAUAAACAAAUUUAUACCGUGAAACUGCGAAUGGCUCAUUAAAUCAGUUAUAGUUUAUUUGAUGGUCUUUUUCUACAGGGAUAACUGUGGUAAUUCUAGAGCUAAUACCUGCAUAAAAACCCCGACUUCUGGAAGGGGUGUAUUUAUUAGAUUCAAAAUCUUCAGACUUCGGUCUUAUUGAUGAUUCAUAAUAACUUCUCGAAUCGCAUGGCCUUGUGCCGGCGAUGCUUCAUU